Molecule: ribosomal RNA, 207 nt
Filed under: uncultured bacterium
Lineage: Bacteria
Description: partial 16S ribosomal RNA
Rfam family: Bacterial small subunit ribosomal RNA
Source: RNAcentral
CACGUAGGUGGCAUGAUAAGUCAAAGGUGAAAGCCCUCGGCUCAACCGAGGAACUGCCUUUGAAACUGCCUUGCUUGAGCCCGGGAGGGGGGAGCGGAAUUCCCAGUGUAGCGGUGAAAUGCGUAGAUACUGGGAGGAACACCGGUGGCGAAGGCGGCUCCCUGGACCGGUACUGACACUGAGGUGCGAAAGCGUGGGUAGCAAACA